GAUGAACGCUGGCGGCGUGCCUAAUACAUGCAAGUCGAGCGAACGGACGAGAAGCUUGCUUCUCUGAUGUUAGCGGCGGACGGGUGAGUAACACGUGGAUAACCUACCUAUAAGACUGGGAUAACUUCGGGAAACCGGAGCUAAUACCGGAUAAUAUUUUGAACCGCAUGGUUCAAAAGUGAAAGACGGUCUUGCUGUCACUUAUAGAUGGAUCCGCGCUGCAUUAGCUAGUUGGUAAGGUAACGGCUUACCAAGGCAACGAUGCAUAGCCGACCUGAGAGGGUGAUCGGCCACACUGGAACUGAGACACUGUCCAGACUCCUACGGGAGGCAGCAGUAGGGAAUCUUCCGCAAUGGGCGAAAGCCUGACGAAGCAACGCCGCGUGAGUGAUGAAGGUCUUCGGAUCGUAAAACUCUGUUAUUAGGGAAGAACAUAUGUGUAAGUAACUGUGCACAUCUUGACGGUACCUAAUCAGAAAGCCACGGCUAACUACGUG
Molecule: ribosomal RNA, 497 nt
Filed under: uncultured bacterium
Lineage: Bacteria
Description: partial 16S ribosomal RNA
Rfam family: Bacterial small subunit ribosomal RNA
Source: RNAcentral